This 1313-nucleotide long non-coding RNA is filed under the name Panax ginseng (ginseng). Its description in RNAcentral is "long non-coding RNA (PGIN_LNC010589)". The record is from RNAcentral. Lineage: Eukaryota; Viridiplantae; Streptophyta; Magnoliopsida; Apiales; Araliaceae.
CCAAAAAUAAUAAUCCAAGAAAAAGACAAGGAAGAAGGGUAAUCAAACAAAAUCCAAUCAAUUGUUUCAGCCCCUCUCUGUGAAAAAUCUGAACCCCGUUAAAUUACGAUCAGAAAUCCUUAGACUCCAUUAAAUCUGGGUUUUUCUUUGCUUCUAUUUUUAUUAUUGUUUUAUCUAUUUUUUGACUGCUUGAUAUUCUAUUGCAAAUCAAAGAUAUUUUUCUGGAACCGGUUCCAUUUCUUUCCCCUUCUGUCUCUGCAUUUUCAAAUGAAUGUUGUUCCUGGUGGUGGUUUUGUUAAAUACUACUUGGAUAGCUCGAUUAGCGUAUGGAAGAAAAUGAUAAACCCACCUACAAGGUAUUACUCUACUAAUUAGCUCGAAUUUUAUACUAGUAUUUACAAUUUCCCCUUUUUAUAUCUGUUUCAAUUGGAAGAUUGAUUUGGGUCUAUGUUAUUUCUGCUUCUUUAUUGUUUUUGUGCAUUUAACUUACUUGAUUUGUUACUCUAUGCUUCUAGGUUAUUUAUUUAUUUAUUUCAAGAAAUAGUGUAUAACCGCAUUUCAACUAAAAAUGAAUUUAUCCAAAGUAUAUAGUGCAUUGUGUUGAACUGGGUUACUUUUUAAUGUCUAUAGUUUUGUACAAUUUUUCCCCUGAAACAGGAUUUUUUUUUUUUAAUUUUUCAACACAAAUUUGUUUUGAAAGAAUUGCUUGUAUGAGUUCCUUUCCCCUUUUAUUAUAGAUUCUCACAUAGAUGAACUGAAUUGUCAUUGAAGAAGAAAUAUUCUUAUAAAUGAGCCUAAACAGUAGAAAGCCUAUUACUAUGAGCUAUCACUUGUGUUUGAGACUCUUUCUAUGGUGUCUGCUAGAAUUUUUCAGUUUUCUUGUCAUUAUUUUAUACUCCUUUUAUCAUUUUUGGAGACCCUUGUCAGUUGUAACUAUGUUAAGGUCUAUCAGUUUUGUUAUUGUUGUUUGGUAGAUUGUUGUCAUAAAAUAUCGCUGGGAACUUAAUACCUUUGUGGUCAUUUAUUCUUUUUUAAAAUUUUAAUAGGUAAUACCCAAUUGGUUGUAGAGGUUGAGUUCAGUUACAAUCUUUAAGAUUCUGUUGAAUUUUUUAGUUUUCUUUUAUUAUUUGGUCUACCGUGAUGAAUAUCUGACUUGAUUGUUUUAUCUUACUUCAAGGAUUAUUACAAAGUUCUGGAAGUAGAUUACGAUGCAACAGAGGAGAACAUCAGAUUAAGUUACCGAAGACUUGCACUAGUCAGUUACCCAUUUCCUCAUUAUUUGUGUAUCUUAUUGUUGUUACAUUUCUUCUUCU